UACGUAGGGAGCAAGCGUUAUCCGGAUUUACUGGGUCUAAAGGGUGUGUAGGCGGACUAUUAAGUCAGGGGUGAAAUCCCGAGGCUCAACCUCGGAACUGCCUUUGAUACUAUUAGUCUUGAAUGUUGUUGAGGUGGGCGGAACGGGUCAUGUAGCGGUGAAAUGCAUAGAUAUGACCCGGAACACCGAUUGCGAAGGCAGCCCGCUAAGCAACUAUUGACGCUGAGGCACGAAAGCGUGGGGAUCAAACAGG
Molecule: ribosomal RNA, 253 nt
Filed under: uncultured bacterium
Lineage: Bacteria
Description: partial 16S ribosomal RNA
Rfam family: Bacterial small subunit ribosomal RNA
Source: RNAcentral